Molecule: ribosomal RNA, 403 nt
Filed under: bacterium
Lineage: Bacteria
Description: partial 16S ribosomal RNA
Rfam family: Bacterial small subunit ribosomal RNA
Source: RNAcentral
UGGGGAAUAUUGCACAAUGGAGGGAACUCUGAUGCAGCGACGCCGCGUGAACGAAGAAGGCUUUCGAGUCGUAAAGUUCUUUUAUAUGGGAAGAUAAUGACGGUACCAUAAGAAGAAGCCCCGGCUAACUACGUGCCAGCAGCCGCGGUAAUACGUAGGGGGCUAGCGUUUUCCGGAAUCACUGGGCGUAAAGGGUUCGCAGGCGGAAAUGCAAGUCAGGUGUAAAAGGCAGGAGCUUAACUACUGUAAGCAUUUGAAACUGCAUAUCUUGAGAAGAGGAGAGGUAAGUGGAAUUUUUAGUGUAGCGGUGAAAUGCGUAGAUAUUAAAAAGAAUACCGGUGGCGAAGGCGACUUACUGGGCUCAUUCUGACGCUGAGGAACGAAAGCGUGGGUAGCAAACAGG